This 136-nucleotide non-coding RNA is filed under the name Loxodonta africana (African savanna elephant). The record is from Rfam by way of RNAcentral. Lineage: Eukaryota; Metazoa; Chordata; Mammalia; Proboscidea; Elephantidae.
AAGCCGCCACAGUAUGACAACUAACAGAUGCGUGGUGGCAGCUUCAGACAUUUGGUGUAUGUGCUUGUUUGAGGAGCCAGUGGGGCAAAGUUACCAUCUGUGAAAUUAUGACUGAACACCUCUAAAUCAGAAUCCC